Molecule: unclassified non-coding RNA, 2187 nt
Filed under: Hevea brasiliensis (rubber tree)
Lineage: Eukaryota; Viridiplantae; Streptophyta; Magnoliopsida; Malpighiales; Euphorbiaceae
Source: RNAcentral
CCUCUCUUCCUUUUGCGUGCAAUUCAGCAAGGAUCUUUGAAGUGGCCAGAUCCUUUGCUUGCAUUAAAGAUCCCUCAAAAUAUCUAAAGGAAUAUAUAAGGGGGCUGGGUAAUUCUUGAUUCGCCUUAUAUACACUACCCUGAUCAUCGAUUUGAUUCGCAUCAGACUGUCAACAUAACUACUGAUCAUGAAACCUAAGGAUUGUGGACACAAGUCAAUUCUAAUGCCACUGGAGAGUAGUGAAUUCCAGCUACAACUUCAACAAUAUACUGCUAUCCUCAAUUGCAGGAAGCACAUCAGCUGUCCUUGCUAAGAAAGCAUGGCAGGAAAUAAUUAGUAAUCACAAACAUUAUAUAUAUAUAAUCUUCUAUCUUGAUUACAAAGAAUCGCAUUGUAAAGUUAUUCAAGACGAUUGAUGUCUGAAAAAAUCAGCACCAUCUUCAACAUCAUCAGUUCUGAUGCUUCCACUUUGAGCCAUAAGUAUUCUGUAGACUCGCUUUGAACAAAUCUGACCUACUCUUCUUUCACCACCAAGUAAACCUUCUGUGGUCAAGUCCUCGAGCAGAAAUUCCUUUUCAUGCACCGAUAUACUAGGAUCCAUGUAAACACGUAAAAGAGAUUUCAUGGUAGGAUACUUCUUCCAUAUAGCAACAGCAAAUCGUGGCUGCACCUUUGGGAUAGCUACCAAAGCUUUUAACCAUGGACUCUUUUUUAUUAAAUUCUUGUCAAUAGAGUCCUUCGGGAUAAGGGAACCAUUAGCGUUCACAGAUAGUCGCGUUAACUUAUUUCUAUAUUGGCAAGUUGCCAGGCUGCAAGUCAAACCCACAAUAUGUUCAGCGAGUUCAGCUUCAUCUCUACAAUGCCUAUGAUGUACCCUGGAAUAAUGAGUGGUCAGUUUUGCCAGGACCUCUUCAAUAGGUGGACAUCUCCAAGCAUUAUCAUUUUCUGGGUUCUUGUAUUGUUCCUUUUCCCUUUUAUUGAUAUAAGCCAUCAGCUUAUUUGUGAGAUAGCAAAUUGUAUAAGAUGGAUAACAAUUUUGAACUCUAGAAACAUGGUCCAGAAGUGAUUCAUUGAUAACAAGAUUGCAGAAUUCCUCAGCCUCAUAUACAAGUAACACAUACCGUACCUCGGUUCCUUCAGGAGAAAGCUGCAAAAUAUGUUCUGGAACACUCAUAGUCCAGACAAUUGAUUUUUCAAUUGGAUUUGAUGUUAUGCGGUAUGUAAGGCCUUUCUCAGCAAACCUGAUAAGCAAAUGUCCUCCAACUGAACCCUGUUCAACUACCUUAGAAUCAAACUCAGCAACUAUAGAUUUUAGAGCUAACUUCCCUUUUUCCCACUUCUGCUUUUCCUUCUCCAAUUUUUUCAGCUCUGCAGUUUGAGCCUUCAAAGCUGCUUUUUGCAACUUCUCUUGUUCUUUUUUGAGCUUUUUUUCUUCUGUUAAUCGAAUUCUUUCCUCUUUUGUCAUCUUCUUCUUCCCCGCUACCUUCUUUGUACUAUUCUUGUCAGAAUUAACGUUAGUUCUGGGUUUUACAGUCCUGCUCAUCUGUUCCAUGCUAAAAUCUUCUCUAUCAGGACUACUUACCUGAUUGAUAUCACCUUGCAAGAAAAUGGAUUGGGAAGAAGUGUCCCCUGAUGCUUGAGCCAGAUUACCAUCCCCAAGUGAAUCAAUGGAAGCAAAUAGUCUAGAACUCCACCCCGUCUUCUCUAUCUCAUCAUCACUAUUACCCAUUGUUGUGUUCUUCUGAUUUCCCAUUACAGAUUCACUUUCCGAUUCAUCAUUUUCGGAUUCCAAACACAUAAAUCCACAAUUUCCUGAGGGCUUUGGAUCGCAAUUGGAAACCACAAUUUGGGGAUUUGAAGUCCCCAUUGUGCAUUUCACGAUAGAGAUAUCAGACAUUGGAGUCUCGGCAACGAAAGAGGGAGUGGAGGAGAAUGAGGAGGAGGCAGGCCGUAGUUUCUGUGGGGUCGGGUCAUCGUCGAGCACGAGAAUAGUAGGGAGCGGGUCAGGUCCAGUUCUGGGUUUUUUGGGUAGAUACGGUAGUGGAGUCUUUUGGUCUUCGUCGUCGGAGAUGAUGAUUGGAUUAGACAUUGACGCAAAUAUGAAAGAGCAAAUUCGAGAGUGAAGAGUUUUUUGCUUCUAGCACCAUGACUCUGUUCGUCUUCGAAGAAGCGCGGGAUCGAUGAUGA